UGCAGCGCAGCUCCCGGCCCGAGCUGACGCUCAGCGCCCUGGACACCUGCUCCCGCUCGGCCAGCGGCAGCAGCAGUAGGAUCAACUCCUAUUCUGUUUUGGUUUCCCCAACCCGGGUCUGUACAAGAGGCAGAGAGGGCCGAGGAUGGGCCUCCCCAGCUCUGAAGCCCGUGAUGCCACACGUGCAGACAAGCAGCUUAGUGCAUCUGUGAGAUGAAGACUGAAGAAUCCAGAAUUCCUGGUGCUCAGGCAUUGAUACUCCCAUUCCUGUUAUUUUAUUUAAGGCAAUUUUUGUUACAUGGUUUUCAAGCACCUACCUGCCUUGUCCUCAGUCAGUGCUUACACUCACCUGAGCAGCUGCUUUUCCUUAGAUGCUCAUAAAAUUAUCACUGUUGCUCCAGUUCUCUGACCCUUUAUCUCUAUAACUAGAGCAGCCAGAGGCAAUGAGAAUUGUGUAACCAUCUCCCCACUACCCAAGUGCUUGGGACAGGUCUGGUAACUUUGAUAGUAUGUCUCAUGGGACACACAGAAUAAAUCUCUAUUAGAUUAGGGCACUUAUAAAUAAACUGGCUGCUUGCUACAGAAAGAAAAUAAAAAGGUCUUUAUUUUAGUUACCAGAUGAGAGAGGCAAGGAACACAAAUAUUUUGGCUAAUAUUAAACUAUUGGUAAAGGAUUUAAAAUCAAUA
Vidua chalybeata is the source of this 687-nucleotide long non-coding RNA. RefSeq lists it as uncharacterized. NCBI's taxonomy places the organism in Eukaryota, Metazoa, Chordata, Aves, Passeriformes, Viduidae. The transcript has 3 exons. The record is from RefSeq and is a predicted model, not a curated record.